UACAGAGGUCUCAAGCGUUGUUCGGAUUCAUUGGGCGUAAAGGGUGCGUAGGCGGCGCGGUAAGUCGGGUGUGAAAUCUUGGAGCUUAACUCCGAAACUGCAUUCGAUACUGCCGUGCUUGAGGACUGGAGAGGAGACUGGAAUUUACGGUGUAGCGGUGAAACGCGUAGAUAUCGUAAGGAACAUCAGUGGCGAAAGCGGCUUCCUGGACCAGAACUGACGAUCAGGCUCGAAAGCGUGGGGAGCAAACAGG
Molecule: ribosomal RNA, 253 nt
Filed under: uncultured bacterium
Lineage: Bacteria
Description: partial 16S ribosomal RNA
Rfam family: Bacterial small subunit ribosomal RNA
Source: RNAcentral